GGGCAAGUUGUUAAGGGCACAUGGUGGAUGCCUUGGCAUCGAGAGCCGAUGAAGGACGUUGGAGCCUGCGAUAUGCCCUGGGGAGUUGGCAACCGAGCGUUGAUCCGGGGAUGUCCGAAUGGGGAAACCCAGCUGGAGUCAUGUCCAGUUACCCGCAUCUGAAUGAAAUAGGGUGUGUGGAGGGAACACGGGGAAGUGAAACAUCUCAGUACCCGUAGGAAGAGAAAACAAAAGUGAUUCCGAGAGUAGUGGCGAGCGAAAUCGGAUGAGGCUAAACCCAUGUCGUGUGAUAGCCGGCAGGCGUUGCGGUGUGGGGGUUGUGGGAGUGUUGUUGCUGUCUCUGCCGGGAUGGCGCACAGUAAGAAACCGUACGCGAGGUCGAAGUCCGUUGGAAAGCGGUGCCGGAGCGGGUGAUAGCCCCGUAGACGACAGUGUGCGGCUGUGUUCAGCAUUUCCCAAGUAACACGCCACCCCUGAAAUGGUGUGUGAAUCUGGCGGGACCACCCGUUAAGCCUAAAUACUCCUCGAUGACCGAUAGCGGACCAGUACCGUGAGGGAAAGGUGAAAAGUACCCCUGGCGGGGAGUGAAAUAGUACCUGAAACCAUGUGCCUACAAUCCGUUGGAGCCUCACUUGUGGGGUGACAGCGUGCCUUUUGAAGAAUGAGCCUGCGAGUUAGCGAUACGUGGCGAGGUUAACCCGUGUGGGGUAGCCGUAGCGAAAGCGAGUCCGAAUAGGGCGUGUGAGUCGCGUGUUCUAGACCCGAAGCGGAGUGAUCUAUCCAUGGGCAGGUUGAAGCGCCGGUAAGACGGCGUGGAGGACCGAACCCACUUCAGUUGAAAAUGGAGGGGAUGACCUGUGGAUAGGGGUGAAAGGCCAAUCAAACUCCGUGAUAGCUGGUUCUCCCCGAAAUGCAUUUAGGUGCAGCGUUGCGUGUUUCUUGCCGGAGGUAGAGCACUGGAUAGCCGAUGGGCCCUACCAGGUUACUGACGUUAGCCAAACUCCGAAUGCCGGUAAGUGAGAGCGUGGCAGUGAGACUGUGGGGGAUAAGCUUCAUAGUCGAGAGGGAAACAGCCCAGACCAUCGGCUAAGGCCCCUAAGAGGUGGCUAAGUGGAAAAGGAUGUGGAGUCGCAGUGACAACCAGGAGGUUGGCUUGGAAGCAGCCACCCUUGAAAGAGUGCGUAAUAGCUCACUGGUCAAGUGAUUCCGCGCCGACAAUGUAGCGGGGCUCAAGCCAUCCGCCGAAGCCAUGGCAAUCGUAUGUAACCCAGGCCACUACUUGUUGGUGGUCCAGGGGUACGGUUGGGUAGGGGAGCGUCGUGUCACGGGUGAAGCGCCGGAGUGAUCCAGGUGUGGAUGUGACACGAGUGAGAAUGCAGGCAUGAGUAGCGAAUCACGGGUGAGAAACCCGUGCGCCGAUUGAUCAAGGGUUCCAGGGUCAAGCUAAUCUGCCCUGGGUAAGUCGGGACCUAAGGCGAGGCCGACAGGCGUAGUCGAUGGACAACGGGUUGAUAUUCCCGUACCGGCGAAAUGGCGCCCAUGACGAGCCCGGUGAUGCUAACCACCCGAAGCGUCACGUACCGGAGUCUUCGGACCGAGGGCGUGGUGUGGAGCGUGGGAUCCGAUCCGGUAGUAGUCAAGCGAUGGGGUGACACAGGAAGGUAGCCCAACCGCCGCGAUGGUAGACGGCGGGUAAGCAUGUAGGGGGUGUGGUAGGCAAAUCCGCCACGCAGCCGUUGGAUCGGUGGCCCUGAGAUGUGAUGCCGAGGCCGUAGGGCCGAAGUGGGUGAUCCUAUGCUGUCGAGAAAAACCUCUAGCGAGCCAUGAGCCGCCCGUACCCGAAACCGACACNNNNNNNNNNNNNNNNNNNNNNNNNNNNNNNNNNNNNNNNNNNNNNNNNNNNNNNNNNNNNNNNNNNNNNNNNNNNNNNNNNNNNNNNNNNNNNNNNCAAGUCGAAGCUCAGAAUUUAAGCCCCAGUAAACGGCGGUGGUAACUAUAACCAUCCUAAGGUAGCGAAAUUCCUUGUCGGGUAAGUUCCGACCUGCACGAAUGGAGUAACGACUUUCCUACUGUCUCAACCAUGGACUCGGCGAAAUUGCACUACGAGUAAAGAUGCUCGUUACGCGCGGCAGGACGGAAAGACCCCGGGACCUUUACUAUAGUUUGGCAUUGGUGUUUGGUUCGGCUUGUGUAGGAUAGGUGGGAGACUGUGAAGCAGCCACGCCAGUGGUUGUGGAGUCAUCGUUGAAAUACCACUCUGGUCGUACUAGAUGUCUAACCUAGGGCCAUGAUCUGGUUCAGGGACAGUGCCUGAUGGGUAGUUUAACUGGGGCGGUUGCCUCCCAAAAUGUAACGGAGGCGCUCAAAGGUUCCCUCAGCCUGGUUGGCAAUCAGGUGUUGAGUGUAAGUGCACAAGGGAGCUUGACUGUGAGACAGACAUGUCGAGCAGGGACGAAAGUCGGAACUAGUGAUCCGGCCACUGCGAGUGGAAGCGUGGUCGCUCAACGGAUAAAAGGUACCCCGGGGAUAACAGGCUGAUCUUCCCCAAGAGUCCAUAUCGACGGGAUGGUUUGGCACCUCGAUGUCGGCUCGUCGCAUCCUGGGGCUGGAGUAGGUCCCAAGGGUUGGGCUGUUCGCCCAUUAAAGCGGCACGCGAGCUGGGUUUAGAACGUCGUGAGACAGUUCGGUCCCUAUCCGCCGCGCGCGUAGGAAACUUGAGAAAGGCUGUCCCUAGUACGAGAGGACCGGGAUGGACGAACCUCUGGUGUGCCAGUUGUACCGCCAGGUGCAUGGCUGGUUGGCUACGUUCGGAAGUGAUAACCGCUGAACGCAUCUAAGCGGGAAGCACGUUUCAAGAUGAGGUUUCCCACCCCUAGUGGGUUAAGGCCCCCAGCAGAACACUGGGUUGAUAGGCCGGAGGUGUACAGCAGUAAUGCCCAGCCGACCGGUACUAAUAGGCCGAAGACUUGCCACA
RNAcentral lists this ribosomal RNA (2974 nucleotides) under Pimelobacter simplex. RNAcentral's name for it is "23S ribosomal RNA". It matches the Rfam family "Bacterial large subunit ribosomal RNA". Lineage: Bacteria; Bacillati; Actinomycetota; Actinomycetes; Propionibacteriales; Nocardioidaceae. The record is from RNAcentral.